RNAcentral lists this long non-coding RNA (1756 nucleotides) under Gadus morhua (Atlantic cod). RNAcentral's name for it is "lncRNA (ENSGMOG00000023551.1)". The record is from RNAcentral. Lineage: Eukaryota; Metazoa; Chordata; Actinopteri; Gadiformes; Gadidae.
GACCAAUGUAUAUAUAUUUAUUGGUCAGUGCGCAUACCCAAUCGUAGCACAUUGUACUGGUGGGGAAACACGCCAGCAUCUGACAAAACAUAAUCUGCCAGCUGCUCCCUGACAAGGGCCGGUUUUGGUGAGAGUCGGGAAGAUAUCGGAUGACUCGCGAAAGGAGAUCAUCAAACUUUGGCACAUAAACAAACCAACGACUCCCACAGACAAAGACGUCAUUCUCGAGGUCGUCUUCAACGAAAACUUUACUCCACAUAUUACUCCACCUACUGUUCUGGCGGUAAAUUGCUUGGCAACACGCGCAACCCGCGCAACCUAAAAGGGAGCAUAAAUUGCUUUGAGUAAAUUUUGCGCAACAACGUAACACCAACACUGAAGCAUGCAGCCGCCUUAACACAAGAAAAACGUAAUGUUGAGAAGUCAUACUAAAAAUGGAUAGCAAGCGAAAGCUAAACCAGACUGUCAAUCACAUACUUUGGUUCCAUUCUAACUUAUGGUAUGAGGCUAGUCUUUAAAUCUUUGCAGUGACUGAAUGUUGAUGAUAAAACGGAUUGUUUUGCAUAAGACGAGUGUGUGCGACUGCGUGUGUCCUUUCUGGCUUCGGCAUACUGCAUGGUUAUGGGCCUUGUUGCAUAUUCUCGAAGAAAGUUGUCCAAUCCCGGGUUGCUUUAACUCACUUUAUUCGUUAUAAAGUCGGCAUGUUUCGGUAUGGUAAAUGGAGACUACGGAAGGAAUUGUAUCUAACACGAGUGAGAGGAAAAUACCGUGAUCUACUUCAAGCCCCCGGGCUUAGGCCCGGGGGCUCUCUGCGCCGUCUACCUAUUGAACUCUGGCCUGUUCACGCGACGUCCUCCGUACAGGACGUCAAGUGGGUGUGGCCUAUGCAGUGGGUGUGGCCUAUGCAGUGGGCGUGGCCUAUUGGGCGUGUCCGGGGUGACGUUAUGGCUUCGGCUUCUUCACUUAAUUAAAGGUGAAGAGGGAGCAGCCUUCAAUAACGUCAUGCUCCCCUUGUGGCUAUGUGAGGGUAACGCAGCUUAUAUGUUUGGUCCUACUUCCUAGUGGACAAGUGAGGGAAGCUUAGAUUCUUAAAAUAUGUAACAGCCUUUUGGUGAGUUGUGGUCUUAGUGAAGCAGCCUAGCCUUGGAGUUGGAUAAGUUGGAGUGAUUGUGUAUGGGCGUGCACGGGCGUGCGAGAGUGAGAGAGCACACCCGCCGCGUUGAUGUUUGGCUUGUUGUGGGCUGUCUGUCAGCAUCCGCCGGGUUGGACGAUGUGCUUUGUGUAUGUGUUCAAUGUACUAUCUGUCUGGUCGUAUUUGCUGUAGAUUGAUGGUUAAAUAAUGUCACACCACGAUCGGUUAUACUUGCAGGCACUUAUUUGCAAGUGCACUGAUUGCGUGUCCGAUAGGCUAGGUUAACCCAUAGCUAGCAUUAUCUUCUAUUUCUAGAUCUUCUGACUAAGUUUACCGGUACUUAUCUGAACGACAUAAUCGCUGUCACUAGAUAUAAAGAAAACGUUGACGUUUCACUCGGGGCUAUUCACUCACAGUAAAAAUAAAUAAAAGUGUCGUUAUUGUAUGCACUGCUGUUCAUUGACUAGCUCCAGCGCUAGGUUGCUGCGUUACUAAAUCAUCCACUCAUUCUCCUCUGACCAUGCAUUUAUUUGGCUUUGACCGCCAUCAGUUGUCGACAAUUCCUCAUUCGCCCUCUCACGUCUGACAGGUUUGAAAUUAUACGGCUGUGGGCCAUCAUAAUUU